Molecule: ribosomal RNA, 440 nt
Filed under: uncultured bacterium
Lineage: Bacteria
Description: partial 16S ribosomal RNA
Rfam family: Bacterial small subunit ribosomal RNA
Source: RNAcentral
CCUACGGGUGGCUGUAGUGGGGAAUAUUGCACAAUGGGGGGAACCUUGAUGCAGCAACGCCGCGUGGGUGAAGAAGUACUCCGGUAUGUAAAGCCCUGUCAGCAGGGAAGAAAAUGACGGUACCUGACCAAGAAGCCCCGGCUAACUACGUGCCAGCAGCCGCGGUAAUACGUAGGGGGCAAGCGUUAUCCGGAUUUACUGGGUGUAAAGGGAGCGUAGACGGCAAGGCAAGUCUGGAGUGAAAGCCCGUGGCCCAACCACGGGACUGCUUUGGAAACUGUGUAGGUGGAGUGCAGGAGGGGGAAGCCGAAUACCUAGUGUAGCGGUGAAAUGCGUAGAUAUUAGGAGGAACACCGGUGGCGAGGGCGGCUUACUGGACUGUAACUGACGUUGAGGCUCGAAGGCGUGGAGAGCAAACAGGAUUAGAAGCCCGUGUAGAC